CCCUUAGAUGUUCUGGGCUGCACGCGUGCUACACUGGUGCAUUCAACGAGUUCAGAACCUUCUGUGAUAACAGUGGGAAAUCUUAUAAAAUGCACCGUGUUUGGGACAGAUGAUUGUAAUUAUUCAUCUCCAACGAGGAAUCCCUAGUAAGCGUGUCUCAUCACGACGCGCUGAUUACGUCCCUGCCCUUUGUACACACCGCCCGUCGCUCCAACCGAUUGAGUGAUCCGGUGAGUUGUCCGGACCGCUACUUGUUCCUUUGCUGGUCUAGUAGUGGGAAGUUCUGCAAACCUUNUNACUUAUNGGAUGGAGAANUCGUANCA
This 323-nucleotide ribosomal RNA is filed under the name uncultured eukaryote. RNAcentral describes it as "partial 18S ribosomal RNA". It matches the Rfam family "Eukaryotic small subunit ribosomal RNA", at positions 1470 to 1796 of the family's 1831-position model. The record is from RNAcentral.